AAAACCAAAUAGAUGAAGAUGAAUUCAUUGCUUUAACAGAAAGAGAAGACGUUCAGGACGAACGUCUUAUACUUGUGGUAGGUCAUAAAAUGAAAUUUUUUGAAGGCUCUGGUGGGCGAUUGUAAAACCAUUAGCCUGCGAGCAGGCUCUCAUCUUCGAGCCUGAUCGCAGGCUAAAUUCCCAUAUAAUUAUUUUAAAUUUAAAAACUCCCAGCAAAAUAUACAAAAGGACUUGAGGCUCGACUUGAGCACAGAGUAGAUACAUAUUCCAUAUUUAAUUUAAAAUUAAACUGCCAGCAAAAUAUACAAAAGGACUUGAGGUGAGUAUUUUACAUGUAUUAUCAUUGUAUUUUAUUAUCUACUAUACCUUAGAAAGGUUGGGGUGAGGCAAACCCUUCGGUUUUGACAUUUUUCAUCACAUGAAUCAACAUUUUCAAAUUAAUAUAACUUCAGUUCAGUAUUUUUAUGACUACAAACAAAUACUGUAAUGAAUUUGUAAAUUCGUUGUCCUCCCUGCCAAAGACGGCUGAUUUUCUCCAGUUUCGAAGUUUGAACGACAUAUAUGUCUACUCUUUUGCACUCUGGUGUUGCUGUGCAAGUGUGGCGACAAGCCGCCUGUCGCCGGCACCCCUCUUUGGUGGCUGAUUAACAAAUUGGCCGCCUGAUAUUGGGGACUUGUAUAUAGACAUAUAUGUGCAUGACAUUAAAAAAAUAAAGCUUUUUGCAUAUCAUUAAUUAACCUGGCAACCUGCCAAAGACGGCUGAUUUUCUCCAGUUUCGAAGUUUGAACGACAUAUAUGUCUACUCUUUUGCACUCUGGUGUUGCUGUGCAAGUGUGGCGACAAGCCGCCUGUCGCCGGCACCCCUCUUUGGUGGCUGAUUAACAAAUUGGCCGCCUGAUAUUGGGGACUUGUAUAUAGACAUAUAUGUGCAUGACAUUAAAAAAAUAAAGCUUUUUGCAUAUCAUUAAUUAACCUGGCAAUUUGAAAGAAUUAUAUAUUCUCCAGUUUGGAACAACAUAUAUAUCUAUACUUUUGCACUCUGGUGUUGCUGUGCAAGUGUGGCGACCAGCCGCCUUUCGCCGGCAGCCCUUUUUGGUGGCUGAUUAACAAAUUGGCCGCCUGAUAUUGGGGACUUGUAUAUAGGCAUAUAUGUGCAUGACAUUAAAAAAAUGAAAGCUUUUUUGCAUAUGAUUAAUUAACCUGGCAAUUUGAAAGAAUUAUAUAUUCUCCAGUUUGGAACAACAUAUAUGUCUAUACUUUUGCACUCUGGUGUUGCUGUGCAAGUGUGGCGACAAGCCGCCUUUCGCCGGCACCCCUCUUUGGUGGCUGAUUAACAAAUUGGCCGCCUGAUAUUGGGGACUUGUAUAUAGGCAUAUAUGUGCAUGACAUUAAAAAAAUGAAAGCUUUGUGGAAAUGAUUAAUUCACCUGGCAAUUUGAAAUAAUUAUAUAUUCUCCAGUUUCGAACAACAUAUAUGUCUAUACUUUUGCACUCUGGUGUUGCUGUGCAAGUGUGGCGACAAGCCGCCUUUCGCCGGCACCCCUCUUUGGUGGCUGAUUAAAAUUGGCCGCCUGAUAUUGGGGACUUGUAUAUAGGCAUAUAUGUGCAUGGCAUUAAAAAAAUAAAAGCUUUUUGGAAAUGAUUAAUUAACAGUCCUGGCAAUUUGAAAGAAUUAUAUUCUCCAGUUUUGAACAACAUAUAUGUCUAUACUUUUGCACUCUGGUGUUGCUGUGCAAGUGUGGCGACAAGCCGCCUUUCGCCAGCACCCCUCUUUGGUGGCUGAUUAACAUUGGCCACCUGAUAUUGGGGACUUGUAUAUAGACAUACAGGUAUAUGUGCAUGACUUUAAAAAAAUGAAAGUUUUUUGGAAUUUAUGAUUCAUAUAACCUUGCAAUUUGAGGGAAUUACAUUCUCCAGUUUUGAACAACACUAUUGUCUAUACUUUUGCACUCUGGUGUUGCUGUGCAAGUGUGGUGACAAAGCCACCUUUCGCCGGCACCACUCUUUGGUGGCUGAUUUGCAUGGUGGCUGAUUAAUUGGGGACUACAGUUAUUGUAUAUCGAUAUAUGAAUAAUAUAAAAAUAUUUAAGUGUUUAGAAAUUAUUAGGUAUAAAAACUCAUAUGAAACAUUAACCUAGAAAUUUGAAAGAAUAUUAUUCAGUCUAAAUCUCAGUGGCAGUGUGUAUUAAUUUUAUUUAUUAUUUUAUAUCAUACUACUGUAUAUUGUUAUUGUAUAUUAUACUAUAUGUGGUUUUGGCAUUUCCUUACUCAAAUAAUAACCAUGUAUAAGUGUUAUGUUAGAGCACACCCAAACCGGGGGCUAUGUUCCUUCUAUUUAUCUAGGAAAGUUAAGAUGUAGACAGCUUCGUGUCAAGCAAAGACCCAAAAGAAUUGCCAUUUCUUGUAAUGGUUGUCUGGCGACCGUUGAAUGCAAUUUCUCAAAUCUUUAUUGUCGCUGACUUGCUGGUACUUUUUCGAGUUAAGGUUGUAAUUGUGGAACUGAUGGCAUGAACUCACAUUCUCUUUUCGAGAGGAGGUUAAUUAAUGAAAUUAGGAAUGCCGACAUAUACAAGUAAUAUGAACUGAAUAAAAUCUGAACUCAGUAGGAGAGGGCAAUUGCUCUUGUAUUGUAUUUUCAGUAGGUAUCGUUUAUAACUCAUUGCAGUAUUUGCAUCAGUUUGGUUCGAAUGUUGCAUCUUUACUCUGAACGGAGUGCGUACAACCAUGCAUGCAUGUAUUGUAGGUCAAAAUCACUUUGUUUGUUACUACUGUGUAUGCUAAUUUUAAUUUGUACUAAAUAUUGGUAGAAUACAUUAUUUUCACUGACACAGUUGUGUUGAGAUG
RNAcentral lists this long non-coding RNA (2844 nucleotides) under Paramuricea clavata. Lineage: Eukaryota; Metazoa; Cnidaria; Anthozoa; Malacalcyonacea; Plexauridae. The record is from RNAcentral.